Molecule: ribosomal RNA, 253 nt
Filed under: uncultured bacterium
Lineage: Bacteria
Description: partial 16S ribosomal RNA
Rfam family: Bacterial small subunit ribosomal RNA
Source: RNAcentral
UACGUAGGGGGCAAGCGUUAUCCGGAAUUACUGGGUGUAAAGGGAGCGUAGACGGUAAUGUAAGUCUGGAGUGAAAGGCGGGGGCCCAACCCCCGGACUGCUCUGGAAACUAUGUUACUAGAGUGCAGGAGAGGUAAGCCGAAUUCCUAGUGUAGCGGUGAAAUGCGUAGAUAUUAGGAGGAACACCAGUGGCGAAGGCGGCUUACUGGACUGUAACUGACGUUGAGGCUCGAAAGCGUGGGGAGCAAACAGG